RNAcentral lists this ribosomal RNA (433 nucleotides) under uncultured bacterium. RNAcentral describes it as "partial 16S ribosomal RNA". It matches the Rfam family "Bacterial small subunit ribosomal RNA", at positions 29 to 507 of the family's 1533-position model. The record is from RNAcentral.
AACGAACGCUGGCGGCAGGCCUAACACAUGCAAGUCGAGCGGACCUUUCGGGGUCAGCGGCGGACGGGUGAGUAACGCGUGGGAAUAUGCCCUUCUCUACGGAAUAGUCCUGGGAAACUGGGGGUAAUACCGUAUACGCCCUUUGGGGGAAAGAUUUAUCGGGGAAGGAUUAGCCCGCGUUGGAUUAGGUAGUUGGUGGGGUAAUGGCCUACCAAGCCGACGAUCCAUAGCUGGUUUGAGAGGAUGCUCAGCCACACUGGGACUGAGACACGGCCCAGACUCCUACGGGAGGCAGCAGUGGGGAAUCUUAGACAAGGGGGGCAACCCUGAGCUAGCCAUGCCGCGUGAGUGAUGAAGGCCUUAGGGUUGUAAAGCUCUUUCAGCUGGGAAGAUAAUGACGGUACCAGCAGAAGAAGCCCCGGCUAACUCCGUG